RNAcentral lists this ribosomal RNA (261 nucleotides) under uncultured bacterium. RNAcentral describes it as "partial 16S ribosomal RNA". It matches the Rfam family "Bacterial small subunit ribosomal RNA", at positions 333 to 586 of the family's 1533-position model. The record is from RNAcentral.
GCGCUCCUACGGGAGGCAGCAGUGGGGAAUAUUGCACAAUGGGGGAAAGUCUGAUGGAGCAACGCCGCGUGAGUGAAGAAGGGUUUCGGCUCGUAAAGCUCUGUUGGUAGGGAAGAAAGAUAGAGGUAGUAACUGGCCUUUAUUUGACGGUAAUUACUUAGAAAGUCACGGCUAACUACGUGCCAGCAGCCGCGGUAAUACGUAGGUGGCAAGGGUUGUCCGGAUUUAUUGGGCGUAAAGCGAGUGCAGGCGGGUUAAUAA